This 370-nucleotide ribosomal RNA is filed under the name uncultured organism. RNAcentral describes it as "bacterial SSU rRNA". It matches the Rfam family "Bacterial small subunit ribosomal RNA", at positions 526 to 896 of the family's 1533-position model. The record is from RNAcentral.
CGUAGGGUGCAAGCGUUAAUCGGAAUUACUGGGCGUAAAGCGUGCGCAGGCGGUUAUGUAAGACAGUUGUGAAAUCCCCGGGCUCAACCUGGGAACUGCAUCUGUGACUGCAUAGCUAGAGUACGGUAGAGGGGGAUGGAAUUCCGCGUGUAGCAGUGAAAUGCGUAGAUAUGCGGAGGAACACCGAUGGCGAAGGCAAUCCCCUGGACCUGUACUGACGCUCAUGCACGAAAGCGUGGGGAGCAAACAGGAUUAGAUACCCUGGUAGUCCACGCCCUAAACGAUGUCAACUGGUUGUUGGGUCUUCACUGACUCAGUAACGAAGCUAACGCGUGAAGUUGACCGCCUGGGGAGUACGGCCGCAGGGUUG